AACGAAGGAACAUUAAAUUUGUUGCAGUUAAAAAGCUCGUAGUUGAAUUUCUUGUUUUUGGUUCUUGAUGCAAGGGUCAAACCUUUUAUCUUGAUUCAAGGCAAUGUUGUCGUUUGGGCCAUGGGAUAACUAUGGCACGGGCGAUUCUUUUACUGUGACUGAAGUGAAGCGUUCAUUGCAGGCUUUAUGCUUGAACAACUCGCACGGAAUAAUAAUUUAGAUAUGGAUUCUUUAUUGGUUUACGUCUGUAUUAUGUUUAACAGGAACAGUUGGGGAUACUUGUAUUUUUAUGCUAGAGGUGAAAUUCUUGGAUUAUAAAACGACAAACUAGAGCGAAAGCAUUUAUCAAGGAUGUUUUCAUUAAUCAAGAACGAAAGUUUGGGGAUCGAAGAUGAUCAGAUACCAU
Molecule: ribosomal RNA, 406 nt
Filed under: uncultured eukaryote
Lineage: Eukaryota
Description: bacterial SSU rRNA
Rfam family: Eukaryotic small subunit ribosomal RNA
Source: RNAcentral